Canis lupus familiaris (dog) is the source of this 485-nucleotide long non-coding RNA. RefSeq lists it as uncharacterized. NCBI's taxonomy places the organism in Eukaryota, Metazoa, Chordata, Mammalia, Carnivora, Canidae. The record is from RefSeq and is a predicted model, not a curated record. The transcript has 2 exons.
GGUUAAACUGCAUUUGCCCACAAGAGAUGAACUCACUAACGUGUCGACAAAUUAUCCAAGCCCAGAAACCUUCGGGCAAGGCCAUGACCAGUCCUGACUGAUGGGUCCACCUGCCAUUCAUCUACCCAUCAGAGGAGCACGCAGUAUUCUUCUGACUCCACCUCCCAGGGAAACCUCCUCGGAGUGCUCUUUGGCACACAGCGCAUCACACUGCUGUGCUUUCUUCUCUUAGGCUUGAAAAUUGCCUUCUUAGCAAAUGGUGUCUUAGCAAAUGUAGUGACAGCUUUAAGGGAGCCGCUGCUCCCGUGGAAUAAUUCUAUUUACUUCAAAACAGCCGCCUUGACAUCUCCCCACUCCUCAGCCAACACAAAGGCAUCGUGUUCUUCAAGGAGCCACCACCUGAGACCACCUUGUUAAUAACAAAAAUGUUCCAGGUCUCUGUGUUCUCUCGUCUAUGAAAUAAACAUCCUUCUAAAACAGGCAAA